This 486-nucleotide ribosomal RNA is filed under the name uncultured bacterium. RNAcentral's name for it is "partial 16S ribosomal RNA". It matches the Rfam family "Bacterial small subunit ribosomal RNA", at positions 46 to 523 of the family's 1533-position model. The record is from RNAcentral.
GCCUAACACAUGCAAGUCGAGCGGCAGCGAGAGUAGUAGCAAUACUACUUGUCGGCGAGCGGCGGACGGGUGAGGAACACGUAGGAACUUGCCCAGAAGUGGGGGAUAACUAAGGGAAACUUUAGCUAAUACCGCACCAACUCGAGAGAGAAAAGGUGCCGGCAAGGGUGUCGCUUUUGGAGCGGCCUCCGUCCGAUUAGCUAGUUGGUGAGGUAAUGGCUCACCAAGGCAACGAUCGGUAACUGGUCUGAGAGGACGACCAGUCACACUGGGACUGAGACACGGCCCAGACUCCUACGGGAGGCAGCAGUGGGGAAUAUUGGACAAUGGGGGCAACCCUGAUCCAGCGAUGCCGCGUGGGUGAAGAGGGCCUUCGGGUUGUAAAGCCCUUUCGGUUGGGAAGAAGCUUGGUCUCCCCAUAAGCGAUCAAGUUGACGGUACCGACAGAAUAAGCACCGGCAAACUCUGUGCCAGCCGCCGCCGUAA